Long non-coding RNA from Rhododendron vialii, 432 nucleotides. RefSeq lists it as uncharacterized. The record is from RefSeq and is a predicted model, not a curated record. NCBI's taxonomy places the organism in Eukaryota, Viridiplantae, Streptophyta, Magnoliopsida, Ericales, Ericaceae. The transcript has 2 exons.
UCGUAUAUAUGGUUAUAUGAAUAGUUUGGCUAGAUUAAGUUAGGGUUUCGAUUGCGAGUAUAGAUGGUUAUAUCAAACUCUGAUCGGUUACGUAUUGGUUUAGUUAAGAUAAGGUUUUGAUUGCGAGUAUAUGUGGUUAUAUCAAUCUUUGAUCCGGUAUAGUAUGAUUGAAUUAAGUUGGGGAUUCGAUUGAUAGUAUAUAUGGUUAUAUCAAUGUUGGUAAUAUACUAAUUUUGUUAAAGGCUGUUAUUUGUGUAGUUGUUCAAGGGGUGAAGAGUAUUAAGUUACCUGUGAAGUCGACUGUGAAGAAGGCGACGGCGGCGAAGGGAAAUAAGUUACGAGAUCUCCUCUUUUUAUUUUUUUAGAAGUUAGAAAGGACAAAAUCUCAUGUAUAACGUUAUAAGGUUAUAUGUUUAUUUUUUGUCACAUGUA